Molecule: long non-coding RNA, 1656 nt
Organism: Rosa rugosa (rugosa rose)
Lineage: Eukaryota; Viridiplantae; Streptophyta; Magnoliopsida; Rosales; Rosaceae
Exons: 3
Source: RefSeq, a predicted model, not a curated record
GUCCCGUAUCUCAAUUUACCUGUUUACUAGUCAUUUGGACGGUAAACGACCUUUACUUUCACUUUUACUUUCGGUUUAGUGCUUUUAGUGGCCCUAAAAAUUGACUUUUUGUUCGGGUCAAAAUUUGAGAAAAUGUUCUUCAUGAAAGUUGUAGGGGACGUUAAACCGAGCGCGUACAUAUGUGGUACGUAAAAAUCGGAGCUCGUAUGCAAAAGUUAUAAGCAAAAAUGUGAAAAUUACUGUUCAUGGUAAGUAGUAUAUAUUUGAAUUUUUCACUGUGGCCGGUAACUUUUUCUUUUUCUCUUUCUCUUCCCCCGCGUGUUCUCUCUCUCGUCCCCGAGCUCUUGCUCUCUCUCUCUCACCUCUGCAACUCCGGUUGCUUUCUCUUUCCGGCCACCAAAAAGCGUAAAACCGGUGGCUACGGACUCGUCUCGACCUCCUCUUGGUGCCUGCGGUGAUGGCUCAUGGCGGCUUGGCCGGAAAAUGACGCAUCGAGCUGUGGAAGUUUCACUGUAGCAGAAGUGGUCAACGCCAGUUUCUCCCGAUUCCGGCCACCUCCGGCGACGAACCAUAAUCAUUUGGAAGCGCCUUGCGAUGUAGAUGAUGCUCCCCAAAUAUUUUGCAGCGAUUUGAAGCGUGGAGGAAGAAUUGAAGGGCAAUGUUGCGAGCUACGGCUAGAUGAAGGAACUCGUUUGCGUGGUCGCCCAUUAGUACUUUUGCAGGCGCUAUUAGUUGAGGUCGGGCGUACAUGGAUCGAGGCAUAGUUGACGAAUAGCUUCCGCGCUUCUUUGUUUGGCUCUGAUCUAUUGUGGGUUACUAUUUUGGGUAGUCCUCUUUAGGGGUGACUCGACCAGUUCUCGGUAGAGUUAUCUCUAAGGUGGGCCCCGCAGGGCCACCUCGGAUUUCAGGGUGAAAUUCGGGGCGGGUCCUGUCACAGGUCAUCCAUCGUCCCUCUGCUAUUGACUGCGCACGAUCCCGACCGUGCUCCUAAACCAGCGACUUCCGGCCAGCCCCGCGACAGCAGCUUCAUCCGCCGACCCCACCAAAGAGCACCAGACCACCGCUCGCCAUCAGACACGAUCUCCUCAACCACGUCUCUCAAAUCCCAGCAAUCCAGACCGGAUCCACUCUGAUUGAGAGCCAAACAAUCUCACCUUUGACCCGUCCCUGAUGGACAGACAAUCAGACCCGUCUGGCUGCACGCACAACGCGCCGACGAGGUCAAUGACGACGCCGAGGCGGAGGGCCGCCGGACGAGUGCAAAGACGGCUAGGGUUUUUUCUUGUUUUUCGCUCUCGGCGCUCAAGACCGAAGAGAAUAUAUAUGAUCCGUUGGUUAUCAUAAAAAAAGGGCCAUGUUUAAUUAAUGUAGUUUUUAUGCUUUGAUGUAGUUUUUAUGUUCCUAAUACAUAAAAAAGGGUGCAAUUAUUUCUACCUUGGUAUAGUUCACUACACCUUAUCUACUCACUACACUACUUAAGAGUAAAGACAUUAGUCAAAGGGUAUUGUAGUUAGACCAAUGGGGUGCAAUGAGCAUUUUGUAAUGUCACAACAUCCCAUCUUUUGAACCAAGUGCCAAACGUUGUCAAGGACUUUUCAAUAGUUUGAAGCGCUUUUGUCAAGUUUAUAAUAAAGUAAUAAAUUGUGCUAUACUCAU